UAGGGAAUAUUGGUCAAUGGGGGCAACCCUGAACCAGCCAUGCCGCGUGCAGGAAGACUGCCCUAUGGGUUGUAAACUGCUUUUGUACGGGAAGAAACCCCCGCAUGUAUGCGGGGUUGACGGUACCGUAAGAAUAAGGAUCGGCUAACUUCGUGCCAGCAGCCGCGGUAAGACGAAGGAUCCAAGCGUUGUCCGGAUUUACUGGGUUUAAAGGGUGCGUAGGCGGUUUAUUAAGUCAGUGGUGAAAGCCUGUAGCUUAACUAUAGAAUAGCCAUUGAAACUGAUCAACUUGAGUACGGCUGAGGUGACUGGAAUGUAACAUGUAGCGGUGAAAUGCUUAGAUAUGUUACAGAACACCGAUUGCGAAGGCAAGUCACUAAACCGUAACUGACGCUGAGGC
Molecule: ribosomal RNA, 400 nt
Filed under: uncultured bacterium
Lineage: Bacteria
Description: bacterial SSU rRNA
Rfam family: Bacterial small subunit ribosomal RNA
Source: RNAcentral